AGUGAACGCUGGCGGUAGGCCUAACACAUGCAAGUCGAACGGCAGCACAGUAAGAGCUUGCUCUUACGGGUGGCGAGUGGCGGACGGGUGAGGAAUACAUCGGAAUCUACUUUUUCGUGGGGGAUAACGUAGGGAAACUUACGCUAAUACCGCAUACGACCUACGGGUGAAAGCAGGGGAUCUUCGGACCUUGCGCGAUUGAAUGAGCCGAUGUCGGAUUAGCUAGUUGGCGGGGUAAAGGCCCACCAAGGCGACGAUCCGUAGCUGGUCUGAGAGGAUGAUCAGCCACAGUGAAACAGAGACGCUGUCCAGACUUCUGCGAGGCACAGCAGGGGAAUAUAUUGGACUAUGGGCAAGAGCCUGAUCGAGCCAUAGCGCGUGUGUGGAGGAGGCCUGCGGGUUAUAAAGCUCUUUUGUUGAAAGAGAAAAGGAGCAUGUUAAUACCCCGCUGUUGAGGCUAUACCCAAAGAAUGAGCACCGGCAAACUGCG
This 490-nucleotide ribosomal RNA is filed under the name uncultured bacterium. Its description in RNAcentral is "partial 16S ribosomal RNA". It matches the Rfam family "Bacterial small subunit ribosomal RNA", at positions 29 to 505 of the family's 1533-position model. The record is from RNAcentral.